AUUGAACGCUGGCGGCAGGCCUAACACAUGCAAGUCGAACGCGUGGCGGACGGGUGAGUAAUAUGUGGGAAACUUCCCGAAGGCGGGGGAUAACAAAGUGAAAAGGUAGCGCAAACCCCACACCCUCGUGUGUGUCCAGAUGGGAUUGGCGAGUGGGUGUGGGAAAGGCUCACCCGGGCGACGAGCCCUGGCGGGUCUGAGAGGAUGACCAGCCACACUGGAACGGAGACACGGUCCAGACUCCUACGGGAGGCAGCAGUGGGGAAUAUUGCACAAUGGGGGCAAGCCUGAUGCAGCCAUGCCGCGUGUGUGAAGAAGGCCUUCGGGUUGUAAAGUACUUUCAGCGGGGAGGCGUUACCCGCAGAAGAAGCACCGGCUAACUCCGUGCCAGCAGCCGCGGUAAUAC
RNAcentral lists this ribosomal RNA (406 nucleotides) under uncultured bacterium. RNAcentral describes it as "partial 16S ribosomal RNA". It matches the Rfam family "Bacterial small subunit ribosomal RNA", at positions 29 to 526 of the family's 1533-position model. The record is from RNAcentral.